Molecule: non-coding RNA, 347 nt
Organism: Cinara cedri
Lineage: Eukaryota; Metazoa; Arthropoda; Insecta; Hemiptera; Aphididae
Source: the annotation of a GenBank genome assembly
GGAUGGGCUAUAGUAAAUUCCCAUUUUGAAUUUUUGUUUUCAGCGUCAACCUAUAUUUAUAUUUUUCAAUUUCCUAGAUACCUGAACAGACGAAAUUUAAAGUUAAAAAAUUGACGCCGAGAAUGCCAGUCUAAAUAUUCUUUAGAAUUGUGUGUAGUAAGUUUAUUAUUUUAAACUCUAAAUCAUUUAAUGAUAAAUAUUCACAUAAUACCUAUACAAUUACUAUAGUAGGCAUACUAAAUUUCGUGAAGAGAUUGAAUAUAAUCAAUGUUUAAAGCAAUUUUAACCUUUGGAUUAUGUCAUUAACAAUAAUAAUUCAAUCAAACUAUCUCCCCCACCCAAAAAAA